GUAAGUGGGUUAUUUUGUUGUCUAUUAUUUGUGUUCCAAUAAUAAAUUAUUUUCCCACUGGUUUCUGGAUUCUUAUAUUGACCUUUUAAAUAAGUUUAUUAAUUUUUGUUUUUAUAAAUAUAUUUUGAAAUCUCCAAAUUUUUAUUUUACUUUUAUUUAAGAAAUAAGGUAAGUGAUAUAUUUGUAUUAAUGUCUGUCUGUGUAUCUCUAUCAAUUAUUUUUUUAGGUAUCAUUUAAAAAAAGUGGAAACCAAGAGAAAUGCUCCAAUUUCCUUGCACAAAAGCUUGUGCUUGGUUCUUUCAGUGAGAACUGGUAAUGAUGCUUGUUAGCUGUAGCUAGCUGUAGUUAGUGUAUGCUAGUUGAGUGGUUACAGAUACUUCUGUGGUACACAAACUUCCCAUGUCUCGGUGAUGAUUUACCACUGAACACUUUUCAGGACUGAGAUUUGACUGAAUAUUCAGAGAGGCUUUAUGUCCCAGAGUACUUUUAGGUAUCUCCAUAAAAGUUAUUUCAGUUAGAUACAAAAAGACAUGAAACAUAAUAAGUAGUUCAUUUGUUGGUCCUAGAAAAAUGGUUUUUGAGAAUAGAGAAGGUGGAGAUAAAACUGAAAUCAUUGCUUAUUCAAAUAAAGGAUAUUCCUAACUUAUUACUAGUGAUUACUAGACUCUUUCAAAGGCUAGUAUUUUAGCUGUAAAGUGUGAUGCUGUGUCUGAUUUCCCAGAGAUAACUCAGGCAGAAGUGUUACAGAGUUGCGUGUGACUGUAGUGCUCACCACAGUGAGCAAAGAGUUGUUCAUUUAUUUAUUCCUUUAAAUAAAUAAAAAUUUGUAUAUUAGAACCUUCAGAGACAAGUAGAUAUUUUUCUAAUUUUCUUUAUUCAUGAACUUUGAAAAAUCAAAAUUAUGUCUUAGUGGAAAAGAUAGAUUUACUUCUUUUUUGUUUUGUUUUGUUUUGUUUGUUGUUUUUGUUUUUUGAGACAGGGUUUCUCUCUGUAGCCCUGGCUGUCCUGGAACUCGCUCUGUAGACCAGGCUUGGCCUCCAACUCAGAAAUCUAUCUGUCUCUGCUUCCAGAGUGCUGGGAUUAAAGGUGUGCGCCACCACCACCCGGCUAGAUUUACUUCUUUUAAAAAUGUAGACUAGGGGCAGGAGGAAAAAAAGUAGAAUAAAAGGGAGUCUGGAAAAAAUGGCUCGGUGCUUACAGACAUACAUAGUGACUCUGUUGUAACUCCAGUUCCGGGUAUGCGGUAGCCUCUUCUCUAGGCUCCAGGCAUGCAGAUCAUGCACAGACCCUUCAUGCAGGCAAAACACUUAAACUCCAUUAAAAUAAAAUAAAAAAUUUUUUCGUUUUUGUUUUUUAGUUUGAGUGAGAUAGAGACUCUCUAAACAGCAUGGCUGUCCUACAACUUUCUGUGUAGACCAGGCUGACCCUAAACUCACAGAGAGUCCACUUUGCUCUGCCUCCUGAGUUCUGGGAUCAGAGGCAUGUGCUACCACACCCUAACUAAAAUAUUUCUUCUUGUUUUUUAUUCCUUAGGCAGGGUCUCACUGUGUAGACCUGGUGGUCCUAAAACCCACUAUGUAUCAUUGAACUCACAGAGAACCCACCCUUUGUUUCUUGCUGAGAUUAAAGAUGUAUCCCAUGCUGGACCCCCUCCCCCCCUUUUUUUUAUGUAACCCUCAAGAUUUUUGUUUGUUUGUUUCUUUCUUUGUUUUUAAUAUCUUUUUAGGUUUCUCUGUUGUACCACCACUAUGCCCCAAUAUUCUGUUUGGAUGUGGAGAGAAAAACUUCUGUUAUUAUUUUGACAGAUUUUUUUUUAUACAAAUAUUUAACCGAUGCCAGUUUUUGAAUUAUCAAGUAUUUGCCAGGUGUUAUAAUUUGGGGCCCUUGUUUUUCUGUUGAAGAAAGGAAUAAAUAACAAAAAUUGUAUCAGGUUUCCUUAAUUGUAAAGUUAAUGGCUUGGUGGUACAUGUCCUACCCUGUAAUUUCAGUAUUUGGGAAACAGAAGCAGAAAGAUUACUUCAAACUGAAGGCUAGCCUGGUCUUGGUAGCAAAUUCCAGGCCCAGCAGGACUUUGUGUUGUGGUAUGAACCUAUCUUGAACCAGGAAAAAAAAGUGUUUGGUUUUUUUUUGUUUUUUUGGGGGUGUUCGAUUUUGUUGUUGUUGUUGUUUAGAUGAUAAAAUGUACAAAAGAGGGAGUAUAGGAUUCUUUGAAAUGAGGAGACGAAUUUAAAGAAUGACCUCCUGAGGAAAAGACUUAAAUAGGAUACGCAGCAUGUGCAACAGUUACUGGGAGAAACAGAAUCCUGUAGAUUUAUUUAUUCAUUAAUUUUUUCAUUCAUUUAUUGAAUUCCAGAAACAUGAGCACUGCUCUAGCUAUUGACAUGCAGUAGUAAGCAAAGAUCUGAUGUCUGACUCCUUAUCUUUCUCAGUGUUGUGAUGUCAGAUGAUAGAGUUGGAUAAGCAAGUACAUAAUGAUGUAACUGAGAGAGCUGUUGUGUGGUUAGUAUUAUAGAAUAAUUAGAAGAAGAGGUGGGAGAGAGUUAAUUACCUACAGAGUUAACACAGCCUAAGGAUAAAAGAGUUGGCAUGAGAAAUGUAGGGCGAAAAGGAUAUUUUGAACAUCCUGAACUGGAAAGGAACACACAUACAUUGUAGAAGAAGUACAAUAAUUCAAGAAGAGAUUUUUGAGAGAUGUGUGGGACUAAGAGUGACUUUGGGAGGCAGGGGCUCAGUGGCAGAGUACUUUCUUAGCUUGGGUAAAGGUCUCGACUCUUUGCCUGAAAGUUAAGAUUUAAAGGAGAAGGAUAAUCAGUCCUUGCAGUGACAAGGACAGCAAUGUGGAAAUAGUAGAUUAACAAAGGGAAUCAUAUCCUCUGUUUGCAUCCCUGUACAGCAGAGUCUUGCAAGGUAGAGAGCUAGGACUACUUAGGAGAAGAAAAGGCUAAAGCACGUGGUGUACUUAUUUGGGGGCAUUUAGUUGAAUGGUCAUGAGAUGAAGUGAAAUUAAGUAUUACACAGAGGAGAAUAUUAGAGAUAGUAAAUAGAUUUAGCAAGCUGGAGAGAUGGCUCAGUGGUUAACAACACUGGCAACUUCUGUAGAGGCCCAGAGUUUAGUUUCCAGCACCUAGCUUUUAGCAUACAGCUGUAACUCAAGUUCUAGAAGAUCUGAUGGCAUUCUUUUCUGACUUUGGGUGCCAUGCAUCCAUGUGGUGCAUCUACGUGCAAUACGUGCAAACACUCAUACACACAAAAUAAAUACAUAUUUU
RNAcentral lists this long non-coding RNA (3266 nucleotides) under Mus musculus (house mouse). RNAcentral describes it as "long non-coding RNA chr3:88985790-88989056". The record is from RNAcentral. Lineage: Eukaryota; Metazoa; Chordata; Mammalia; Rodentia; Muridae.